Molecule: ribosomal RNA, 424 nt
Filed under: Anomaloglossus cf. baeobatrachus ABGD cluster 4
Lineage: Eukaryota; Metazoa; Chordata; Amphibia; Anura; Aromobatidae
Description: partial large subunit ribosomal RNA
Rfam family: Bacterial large subunit ribosomal RNA
Source: RNAcentral
UCGCCUCUUGAUUGAACCAUAAGAGGUCCAGCCUGCCCAGUGACAUUGUUCAACGGCCGCGGUAUCCUAACCGUGCGAAGGUAGCGUAAUCACUUGUCCUUUAAAUGAAGACUAGUAUGAAUGGCCCCACGAAAGCUAUACUGUCUCCUUUUUCUAAUCAGUUAAACUAAUCUCCCCGUGAAGAAGCGGGGAUAAACAUAUAAGACGAGAAGACCCUAUGGAGCUUUAAACAACUGAAACACUUGUAUACCUCCCUCCACCUACCCACAUCUAACUCCACAUCUUGUUUCUAGUUUUAGGUUGGGGUGACCACGGAGAAAAAACUAACCUCCACGAUGAAAGAGACAUCUCUAAACAAAAAGACACAUCUUUAUGUAUUAAUACAUUAACCUUUAUUGACCCAAUAAAUUGAUCAACGAACCAA